This 135-nucleotide non-coding RNA is filed under the name Chlorocebus sabaeus (green monkey). The record is from Rfam by way of RNAcentral. Lineage: Eukaryota; Metazoa; Chordata; Mammalia; Primates; Cercopithecidae.
GCUGAGUGUGGUGGCGCAUGCUUGUAGUCCCAACUACUUGGGAGGCUGAGAUGGGAGGAUUGCUUGAGCCCAGGAGGUGGAGGCUGCAGUGAACCAUAAUUGCAGCCUGGGCAACAGAGCAAAACCCUAUCUCAA